AAGUUGUAACAAGGUUUCCGUAGGU
This 25-nucleotide non-coding RNA is filed under the name Drosophila melanogaster (fruit fly). The record is from RNAcentral. Lineage: Eukaryota; Metazoa; Arthropoda; Insecta; Diptera; Drosophilidae. RNAcentral also lists the same sequence under 1 other name.